UAUCAGUUUGCUCUCUCCUUUUUUUUUUUUUCAACAUCCAAAAUCUUUUUAAUAACAAGUCAAGGUCUGGGGUUCAUUUUUGUAGCCCUGCUGGCCCUGUGGCCUCUGGUGUGCUCAAACUUCCAGCCCUCCGGCCGCACGUAGGGUUUGGUGUGGCUGUGCAGGUUUCCUGAGGCUUUGCCAAACCACUCGGCCCUUGCGUGGACCAGAGAGCAAGACUGUGCCACACAGCCCUUGGGGGAGUCCAGGGCCAACAACUGGUCAGAGGUAAGGAUCUUGCCUCCAGCUUUGAGGAUGUGGAUCCAGGCAUGGCGGCUCACCGGCAGCACGUACACCUUCAGUUUGGGCACCUCCUGGACAUGCACAUCCUUGCAACCACAACUGUUUUGUCUUCACAGCCAGGCAGCUUCAUCUUCAGGAUUAUCCGGUAAAGGGACAGAAGUGGCCGGCUGGUGUGACUCAUGAACAACCUCUUCAACACAACUUAGUUAAAGGUGGAGUUGGUUGGUCUGCCCAGAAACCUGUACAGCUUGACCACAGUGUCAUAGAAGUCCUCCAUCUGGGGCUCCUUUCGCGGAAACCUUUGGGUCCUUGUUUUGGCAGAUGUCGACUCCCACUAUGGCACCUCCUGCUC
RNAcentral lists this long non-coding RNA (634 nucleotides) under Lynx pardinus (Iberian lynx). Lineage: Eukaryota; Metazoa; Chordata; Mammalia; Carnivora; Felidae. The record is from RNAcentral.